Molecule: long non-coding RNA, 969 nt
Filed under: Phascolarctos cinereus (koala)
Lineage: Eukaryota; Metazoa; Chordata; Mammalia; Diprotodontia; Phascolarctidae
Description: lncRNA (ENSPCIG00000033869.1)
Source: RNAcentral
GGGAGACAGUUGGAGACUGUGAGGCAGGGGGCAGCGCCUUGCUGGUCCCAGGGCGGGCUGCUCAGGGAGGGCCUCACCUUCACUGUGCGAGGUCUGUACCUUCUCGCAGAGGCCCAGCACGCCCCCAUAGCACUUGCGGAGCUGGCCUAUGGUCUCGCUGGUGCGCUGCUCCAUGAGGUGCUACAGCUCCUUCGCCGUGCAGCCAAAGGCCUUGGCCAUGGCUGGUGAGUUGUUGAGGUGACCCUGUGUGCCCUUCCUCAUGUUUCUGGAGGACAUGGCACCGGCUGGGGGGCGGCAGUAGCAGGGGCAGGAUUCGGGCCCUGGAGGCCCAGGCCCCCUUCUGGUUAUGGGGGCUGAGGCUGGGCUCAGCUGGGGUCUAGGGGCGCCCCGCAAGGAGGGGAGAAGGGAGAGGUGCGGGACAGACCAGUGUUGCGGGGAUUGGCAUCCCUAGGCCCUGGACCUGGCUGACUGACUUCCUGGGAGCCAGGUGUAAACAGGAUGUACAUGUUACCAUGGCAACAUGGAACCCUGCUUGGGGUGGGGAAGGCGCAGCCAUCACACUUCCAAGACUUCCUAGUUGCUGGCUAGAAGCCUGCCACCUUUGGUACAAAGGGUCUGGAAAGUAUCCAGGGGAAGAAGAUCCAGACAUAUGCUUGUGUGACCAGAAGAGACAUACCCAGAAACAAAGCUGAAAAUGCCAAAACGGCUCUGAGGACCCAGACAAGUCUGUUUCCUCAUUUGGGAAAGGAAGAGAUCACAGUAAAUGACUGUGAAGGUCUGUUCCAGCUCUAACUCCUAUUAUCAAGAGCCACACCAAUGAGGAAACUGAAGCUCAAAGUCACAGUUCACAAGUGGGAGACAAAUGGCUGAGGUUUCCAGUCUCAAUCCAAGUGACCACUCCUUUCCCCACCCCAUUUCCUCAACUGCAUGCUCUCCUGCUUAAGACAUUUCAACAGCUUUGAACUGAAG